This is a long non-coding RNA of Melanotaenia boesemani (Boeseman's rainbowfish), 110 nucleotides long. RefSeq lists it as uncharacterized. The record is from RefSeq and is a predicted model, not a curated record. The transcript is spliced from 3 exons. Lineage: Eukaryota; Metazoa; Chordata; Actinopteri; Atheriniformes; Melanotaeniidae.
UAUCUGCAUGUGUACUGUCAGGACUAGAUUUCCUAAAACCUCAAACAGCAUCGUCUUACAUCCCAGUAUGUCCAACCAAAACUCAGUAAUAUAAAAAUAGAAUUAAAUAU